GAUGAACGCUGGCUGUGUGGAUAAGGCAUGCAAGUCGAAUGGGUUUAGACCCAUGGCGAACGAGGUAGUAACACGUAGGAUUACUUGCCCUUGAGUCAAGGAUACACUGGAGAAAUCCAGAAUAAUACUUGAUAGUCUCUUCGGAGUAAAGAUUUAUCGCUCAAGGAUAGGCCUGCGGGGUAUCAGCUUGUUGGUAGUGUAAUGGACUACCAAGGCUAUGACGCCUAGGGGAGGUGAGAGCCUGGCCCCCACCGAUGGAACUGAGACACGGUCCAUACUCCUACGGGAGGCCGCAGUCGAGAAUCUUCCACAAUGGACGAAAGUCUGAUGGAGCGACACAGCGUGGUCGACGAAGCGCUUCGGCGUGUAAAGACCUUUUAUAAGUGAAGAAGCUUAUUGACAUUAGCUUAUGAAUAAGGGGCUGCUAAUCACG
RNAcentral lists this ribosomal RNA (433 nucleotides) under uncultured bacterium. RNAcentral's name for it is "bacterial SSU rRNA". It matches the Rfam family "Bacterial small subunit ribosomal RNA", at positions 28 to 505 of the family's 1533-position model. The record is from RNAcentral.